GGAUCCUUCUAAGCAGUACACUGUUGCUGAAUUUUCCAUGGAGGGUUUCGAUGACCGAACGGGGGUGAGGCGAAUUGAGAAUGCUAAGAACAAAUUAACUUUGUCCAAUUCUUGUUGGGAAAGUGCUUACAGGCAUCUAUUUGCGGGCUGGUCUGAGAUUUUUGCUGCGGAUGAGAAACGGUCGAGAUUUGCUUGGCAUCUUAGUGAU
This 208-nucleotide unclassified non-coding RNA is filed under the name Hevea brasiliensis (rubber tree). The record is from RNAcentral. Lineage: Eukaryota; Viridiplantae; Streptophyta; Magnoliopsida; Malpighiales; Euphorbiaceae.